CUACGGAGGGUGCAAGCGUUAUCCGGAAUCAUUGGGUUUAAAGGGUCCGUAGGCGGGCUAAUAAGUCAGGGGUGAAAUCCCACAGCUUAACUGUGGAACUGCCCUUGAUACUGUUGGUCUUGAGUUACAGUGAAGUGGUUAGAAUGUGUAGUGUAGCGGUGAAAUGCAUAGAGAUUACACAGAAUACCGAUUGCGAAGGCAGAUCACUAACUGUAUACUGACGCUAAUGGACGAAAGCGUGGGGAGCGAACAGGAUUAGAAACCCGAGUAGUCC
RNAcentral lists this ribosomal RNA (274 nucleotides) under uncultured bacterium. RNAcentral describes it as "partial 16S ribosomal RNA". It matches the Rfam family "Bacterial small subunit ribosomal RNA", at positions 523 to 796 of the family's 1533-position model. The record is from RNAcentral.